CCUACGGGUGGCAGCAGUGAGGAAUAUUGGUCAAUGGACGAGAGUCUGAACCAGCCAAGUAGCGUGAAGGAUGACUGCCCUAUGGGUUGUAAACUUCUUUUAUAUGGGAAUAAAAUGUUCCACGUGUGGGAUUUUGUAUGUACCAUAUGAAUAAGGAUCGGCUAACUCCGUGCCAGCAGCCGCGGUAAUACGGAGGAUCCGAGCGUUAUCCGGAUUUAUUGGGUUUAAAGGGAGCGUAGGUGGUUUGUUAAGUCAGUUGUGAAAGUUUGCGGCUCAACCGUAAAAUUGCAGUUGAAACUGGCAGUCUUGAGUACAGUAGAGGUGGGCGGAAGUCGGGGUGUAGCGGUGAAAUGCUUGGAUAUCACGAAGAACUCCGAUUGCGAAGGCAGUUCACUGGACUGCAACUGACACUGAGGCUCGAAAGUGUGGGUAUCAAACAGGAUUAGAUACCCUGUAGUC
RNAcentral lists this ribosomal RNA (459 nucleotides) under uncultured bacterium. RNAcentral describes it as "partial 16S ribosomal RNA". It matches the Rfam family "Bacterial small subunit ribosomal RNA", at positions 338 to 795 of the family's 1533-position model. The record is from RNAcentral.